Chlorocebus sabaeus (green monkey) is the source of this 122-nucleotide ribosomal RNA. NCBI's taxonomy places the organism in Eukaryota, Metazoa, Chordata, Mammalia, Primates, Cercopithecidae. The record is from Ensembl.
GUCUAUGACCAUACCACCCUGAAUGUUGGAAGCUAAGCAGGAUUGGGCCUGGGUAGUACUUGAUGUUCAUGGCCAUACCACCGUGAGUGUACCUGAUAUUGAAAGCUAAGUAGGCUUGGGCC